Molecule: RNA transcript, 4132 nt
Organism: Artibeus jamaicensis (Jamaican fruit-eating bat)
Lineage: Eukaryota; Metazoa; Chordata; Mammalia; Chiroptera; Phyllostomidae
Gene: MSANTD2
Gene name: Myb/SANT DNA binding domain containing 2
Exons: 3
Source: RefSeq, a predicted model, not a curated record
GGAAGUGGGGAGGCUCCACUCCGUCCGCACCUCGGCGCGCCCUCAUGCCCCCUCCCUUCUCCGCAAGGGGCCCUGGCACGCCUCCUCCCCGACCGAGGAGCGCGCGGCGUGGGCGGGCGCGCGGAGAGAGACCUCGGAGAGUAGACGGCCAGUGCCCGGCAGCGAAGUCCGCUUGCCGCGAAACCCGGGUCGAGCCAGGCCCCUCGGCGGCUCCGAAGACUGCGGCGGCCGGAAGUGCGUGCACGUCACUUCCGAGCGGUGCAGUGGCGGCCGCUAGGAAGAUGGCUGCGCCCUGUGGCUCGGAGCGGCCCGCCAACUCGCCGCUUAAAAUCCCGAAGAUGGAGGUGCUGUCCCCUGCCUCUCCUGGUGGCCUGAGCGACGGAAACCCUUCACUGUCCGACCCUUCCACGCCUCGAGGCGCCUCCCCGCUCGGGCCUGGCAGUGCAGCGGGCUCGGGGGCAGCGCCGUCAGGGGGUCUCGGGCUGGGGCUUGGGGGGCGCAGCGCCGCCUCGUCCUGGGGAGCCCCGGCCGCCGCCUGCCGCGGCAUGUCGUGGACGCCGGCCGAGACCAACGCGCUCAUCGCAGUGUGGGGAAACGAGCGGCUGGUGGAGGCACGGUACCAGCAGCUGGAGGGAGCCGGCACGGUAUUCGGCAGCAAGGCCCCCGGGCCGGCCAUGUACGAGCGCGUGUCCCGGGCCCUGGCCGAGCUGGGCUACGAACGGACCCCGUCCCAGUGCCGGGAGCGCAUCAAGCUGGUUCGAUGCCCAGAACUGAAUGCUGUGCUCCAGCUGUGGCCUCACCGGUGCUGAAUAGAGAGGAAGAGCCACCUUCAUAGCUUACAUGUGAUUCCUCUGCUUACACAACCCAAUGCUGGAUGUACUUACUUUGGCAAGAUAGCUGCAUCGUGCACUGUAUUCGAUGUUACGUGUGCUGUGACCCUGGGUCUUUCUCUGCAUCGCUGCUGUCCAACCCCAUCCUGCCCCUCUCCAGUCCCUGCCUCCGUUCACCUGCCCCCUCCCCACCCCUGUAGACUCCCCUCACACUCAUCCACAGUGAAUGUCAUCUUUAUUCUCUCAUCUCUCUGCACUCUAAUCUUGCUCUUUGGCAAACUUUCCCUCUGUCUAUACAGUGUCAGCUGUUAGCCAUCUUACUUCCCCCCCGCUUUGGCAAUGGGCACCCUCGGGUCUUCUCACGGCCUCUUUCCUGGUGUUUCCAGUGGACAUCUGGCGCGGUGGGUGUAGUCGGCAUUCGCCUGGCACUUCUUCCCCAUCGCAUCCACGUGACCUCCUGAUUUGACCUGCUGAUCAAGUCAUUACUGACACUUGAGUUUCUCUGUCCAGAUUUUCUUGACUCCCCUGCCCUCUGUCCAGGUGACCUCAUUCCAGGUACAGUCCCUCCCCCAGCUACCCCUGGGAGGAGGCAGUCCCCUUGUUUCACCACAGAAAUUUCUAACAAUACGGAAAGUCCUUCUUAGUUGUGAAUAGAAUAGUCUUUAAUAAUUUUAAGCAAAUUCUUUCUCCCCUGAGAUCUUAGUUGUUUUUGUUUUUGAUUUUUUUGAAUGCUAGAGCGUGAAGUACUGUACAUUUCUGAGGUAAGUCAGGUAAAGGAAGAAGGAAGGGAGAGAGGCCUUUGUGCUGAGCAGGAAGUAGGACGUGGUCCUCCAGGAAAAGCGACACUGAGGUCCCUGCUGGGCGUGGUGCAGCUGCCUGCAGUGGGAGGCGAGACUCAUUUCUCCUGGGUUCGGGAGCAUUGUCUGGAUUUCCAAUUUAGAGUGCAUUUUUAAGUUGGUUUAUUUAGGACUGUUGGUACACAGACACACAGUGGCUGAAGUGUGUGCUUCGGUGAGUCAUUUUGAGCGUGGAAGGUGAUAAGAACUUGUCUGAUGAUAAGAAUUGGAAGGUCCACAUAUGUCCUUUUUAUCCAUUCCUAAAAUCCCUCAAGUUCAACUGAAUCCCAGUGUUUCUUCUCAAGGUCAAGUUCUUACUUCUUAUCCUACUUUAGGUAAUGUGUCCUGUUUAGGCAGCCUUUCCUUGGCUCUGGUCUUUGCCUCACGUGUAUUUGUGUUUUGAGAACAUUAACGUCAGUUUGGAAAUCUUUCUAACGGUAUUUUAAUGCAUCCAGUUUUAUCAUAAUAAUUUAGGGUUACCAAACAUUUCUUCCUCAGACCCGUGCUAGACAUUUUACGUAUCAGCACAUUGACUGUUACCCAAGUUCAUUACAGAGUGAGACAUGUAAUGCAUAUCAUUUGAUUCUUCUUUCUUAUCUAAAGCUAUUCAAUAUCCCUCGUUUUCUUACUCACAAUUACAUAAACCAAGUGAAAACUUAAACUCGGUUCUGGUGGUUUAGAGAAAGGAAAUCUUUCCUGUGGUUCCCCACUGUAUUGUCAGAGGUCUGUGGCUUUGUUUAUGCCCAGUCACAUCCUGAUAAGGGAGGCACCUUUCUUCAAGGGACCAGUAGUUGUAUUUCCUGACUUGGGAUUGAUGUGACCUCAGUGACAGAGCUGACUGGUCCCUUUGCUGCUGAAGGCUUUUCUCUAGGCGGCCGUCAGCAGAGCUUGGCUUUAUCUCCAUGUAUGGCCUGGGAAGGGCAGCAGAGACACAGCCGGGCCUCUCCAUUUACGGUCCCCGGAGGAGUCGGAAAGAGUGGUUGGGGUGUUCUUGGAGGCAGCAAGUAGACAUGGCGAGAUAAAAAUAAAUGGGCAGAUGUUUGCAAUUCCAAUUCUAGUCUCUGCCAGGAGGGCAGAGGGCACUGGGACGGGGGGCGGGGUGUGCAGUGAGCCUGCUGAGCCCCAGGGCGGGCAUCUGUCUCCCUCCAUCGAAGGCUGCCCACGACACAUUCCCCAAGUUCAUUUGUUCUAGAAAGUCUUGUAUGUAUACUUGUGACUCUCCUACAAAGACAAGGAAGGAGCCCCUUUAAAGAGUGUAUUUUGAGAGACCCCAGCUCCUUAAGACGUCACUGGAGGCACCAGAGGGAGCUGAGAGGGAGAAUGGGGAAGGCGCUUCUGCAGGGGCAGGCCGGCUGGGCCCAGGGGCAGGUGGCACCGGUCACUGCUCCGUUGGUGUCGGAGGACAGUGUCUUCACCCGCGUCCCGCUCUUAUUGUUCCCUUUGCCCGCGUGGAUUUCUGGCAUCAAGGGAAGUGUCGGACAGUGUCUCGUCAUUUGUCGGCUGUGAUGUAAAGAUGCUGAAUUUUCACAGAGGCUCUGUAAAGGACUCUUGAGUUAGUGCGGGGAGAACAGGUAACAUACUGGCUUAUGGAAGUAAUCUCACGUCUAGGAGAAACGUAGAGUCUGGCUAAGGCGUCUACGGGAAGUCAGAGGCAAACUGGUCUUGUGGAGGUGUGUGGGAGCCCCCAGACAAAAAGGGCCUUCUUUUCCCAAGGAAGUUCUCAGAGUGAAACCCAGCAAAGCAGAAGGAACAACGGGAGGGACAGACGGGACAAAGAGGGGAUACAACUGAACUAAAUUUGGAAGCUGGGACCAAGUCCUUGAUUCGUCUUUCGCAAUAUCAUACGAGAUAGCAUAAGAUGUGUUAUUAAACUAAGGACGCUGGGCUAAUAAUGAGAAACAUGGCCUAGAAGACCAUGAAGACAAUCGAAGUUGUAUGUGGACUUUCCUAGUGAUAUUUAUUUGCUGUGCACUACAAGGUAGAAAAACAAGUAAAAUGACACCUCUGCACCUCACUUUCAUCCCCGAAAAGAAAUGAUUGGCCACAUUUGUUGGUUUCUUUAGCCGGCAGUUUGAGCGGUCUGCUUGGCUUCUUUUUAGAUGUAGGCAUUAGUAGUGUAUUGCUUCUUGAGCAUCGAUCCUUGAGACUCGGAAUCUGCAGCAUUAUUUACUUGACUUCUUUGAAAUUUUAGCAACUUCCCAAAGGCAUAGGAAGUUAGUAAGGAAUGUGGACUAUGUGAGAAAUGUUUCACUAGUCGUUUCGCUCAGGCAUAUGUUCUCACCCUGUAUUCCUUCUUAGUGAAGAGUAAGGAUGGUUUUACUCUUGGCUUUGGGCAAUUCUUCUUUCUGUCCUCCCUCCCUCACUCUCCCCAAAUUCCGGCACAGUAGCAGCUCUCUCUCUUCUGUGGCAGACCCUUCGCAGGUGUUACAGUCGGGUGAAAGAACAUGGUGUUGGGAAAAGAAAGAG